RNAcentral lists this long non-coding RNA (821 nucleotides) under Ursus americanus (American black bear). Its description in RNAcentral is "lncRNA (ENSUAMG00000018716.1)". Lineage: Eukaryota; Metazoa; Chordata; Mammalia; Carnivora; Ursidae. The record is from RNAcentral.
CAAGACUCUUUCUCCCCCUCUUCCUCCCUCCCUCCUUCCUGCCAUCUUAGUCUCAGGGCUAUUGCCUCAGCCCCUCCUCCUCCCUGGAAAGGCCCUUAGGCCACCAUGUCCCCCAGACAGCCAGGUGUCACCCUCUGCUUGGUGUCCAGCAAAGCCCAGUCCCACCCAUUCCCUUCGUAGCGGGUUUGACUGCAUUGCCUAUCCUCUGUGGAGUCCCAGGUCUGGGGACCUGGAGCCCAGAGCUGCCCUGGAAAGUGCCAGAGAUCCGCUGUUCCACAUGGGAGACCUGGAGACAGCGCUGGCAUCAGACGCCUCUCGUGGCCAGAGGGACGUCCCCAGUGGCCUUCCCGACCUUCGCCAAGGACCCCUGAGCCCCGUUCAAGCCUGCAGCGAGUCAGGGGUUCCAGUCGAGAGUUGCUGCCUCUGCCUCCCUGGGUGACAGCCGCGUGUGCGGCCUCGAGGUGCGGAGGGUGCCGCCUGCCGAGGCCACCGUGGGCGCUUGCCGCAACACAUUGGGAAGUCUCGGGGAGCAGCCACUGGCAGCACCCAGCCUGCAGCCGGGACCCACAGACAGGCCUCCAAAGUGCAGGGCAGAGACCACAGCCAGGAGGGCUUCAGGCCGAGAGAUCAGUCAAUACGAGCCUGAAAUAGACUGGGGCCAGAACAUCUUCCAGCCAGGCGGGGACGAGGCAGGUGCCCUCCCUCUGCAUCUCUUUGUAGGAAGUGUCUCCUGCGUGCGACCCGCCAUGCCCCUCGAUCUCAUCCUCCUGUCCCAUGAUAGCGCGGCAAGGCAGUGACCGAUGGGUUUGGUAAAACUGGGG